Molecule: long non-coding RNA, 1643 nt
Filed under: Sus scrofa (pig)
Lineage: Eukaryota; Metazoa; Chordata; Mammalia; Artiodactyla; Suidae
Description: lncRNA (ENSSSCG00025045988.1)
Source: RNAcentral
UGGUGAGUUAGCGCGAGUUCCCAGAAAGAGCAGGGAAUGUGGGCACCUGCGGGAGGGAGGCUGCUUGGAAAGGUGGGGUUGGGCCAGAGGAGGCCCCAAACUUAACUUUCAUGCCGCACCAACCGGAGACUUUCUUCCCCUGGCAAUAGCACUGCCAAUUUUGUAGAGAUGUUGGGAAAAAGUGGAGCAGAGAGGGAGGGAAAAAAAAUCAAGCUGAGAAUCGAGGGACAAGAGUGCAUUAGGAAAGUCUCAGAUGCGGGCUGGGGGUUGAGGGGGAUUUGGGGGAGGGGAGAGACUGGAGGAGAGAGGGGAGGACUCCGAGAGUGAAAGGUGGAGAAGGGCGCCAAGAAAGGCUUCCGCAAGGCGCUCCUGGAAGCUCGGAGCUCACUUUCCAAGUCGGGGAUUCUAGUAUUGUUUUUGGCGCCUAGGAAACCUUCGGAAGCUGCCUGGUACUUUCCUCCACCUCCCGUUGGUGUUUGGCCAACUGCCUUCCGGAGCAGGAAAGCUAAGGACCAACACCUUGCUGCCUGGGGAACACAAGCUCAUCAGAGGUCCUUCAAGAUCCCGAGCUCCCCACCUCCUCCCAUCUCAAGACCCUCGAGCCUAACCUGGCCACCCAAAGUAACACCCAAGACAUCGCACCUCAUCAGGAGCUGAAGCGCAUGCAGCUCUGGCAAGUACCGCUGCCUCCAGCCCAAACUCAGCAGAGGUUCCUCCUGGGUCCAACUGGUUUAUCUGCAGAGGGUUUAUCUGCUCUUCUCCAGCCUUGCCCCUGAGACAGGUCACUGUCCCUCCCCCAUCCCUUCCCACCCACCUCCUCCUCCUGGUUAUUUUUUCCGAAUUAAGAAAGUGACAUUAUUCUUUUCUUCAAGCACUUCUGUUAAUAUUGAAAAACGUGCGCGUGCAUCUCAAGCGAGGCAGCCCAGACACGAGGGCCAUUUCAAUAUUAAUGAAAUUGUUUAAUCUCCUAAAUUCAUCGUGUUUAAGUUAUGUUUUGGUGAGUUAUUGACCACCUCCGAAACUGUGGUUAAUGAUGUGUGUGUGUGUGUGUGCACAUGCGCAUAAAAAAAAAUCUUUUUUAUGCUAACCCCAAACAGCUCAACUAGUAAUGCUUUAAUAUUACUAAAAGUGUCAAAACUUCACACCCAGAACUCUCCUACCACCACUACCACCUCCUCCUCUUCCUGGAAAAAAAAAAAAAAGUUCUCACGUUUCCGGACUGAAGAUGAUUCAGUGUGAGCUGUAGGUACUGAGUGUGUAACAACUCGGUAGAAGGAAGGAACUUCUUUUAGAAACCGUAAAAGUCAGGGAAUGUGCAGAAAGCAGUGGAAAUGCCUAGCGUGUACACUUGCAUACUGCAUGCAUGUAGGCGGGGUUGACUAUUUCAAAGCAAUGUAAUGAUGAUGAUGAUGAUAAUGAUAAUAAUAAUAAUAAUGAUAAUAAUAAUUCAUUAAACCUCUAGAGACAAACUCAAUCCAAAUCCAAAUAGAAGGGAACCAGCUACCCACACUAGGCAGGGUGACCCUAGGCUUAUCACCACCCUCUCUUCUCUCCAAAAAAGGAAAACCCAUUGGUUAUUUGCAAAUCUAGAAGGUACAGUUGCUUUUGUGGGGCCAGCAGGCAGCUUUUGCUGGGCUCUCUAA